This 1416-nucleotide ribosomal RNA is filed under the name bacterium NLAE-zl-P567. Its description in RNAcentral is "16S ribosomal RNA". It matches the Rfam family "Bacterial small subunit ribosomal RNA". The record is from RNAcentral.
AGUAGAACGCUGAAGAGAGGAGCUUGCUCUUCUUGGAUGAGUUGCGAACGGGUGAGUAACGCGUAGGUAACCUGCCUUGUAGCGGGGGAUAACUAUUGGAAACGAUAGCUAAUACCGCAUAACAAUGGAUGACCCAUGUCAUUUAUUUGAAAGGGGCAAAUGCUCCACUACAAGAUGGACCUGCGUUGUAUUAGCUAGUAGGUGAGGUAACGGCUCACCUAGGCGACGAUACAUAGCCGACCUGAGAGGGUGAUCGGCCACACUGGGACUGAGACACGGCCCAGACUCCUACGGGAGGCAGCAGUAGGGAAUCUUCGGCAAUGGGGGCAACCCUGACCGAGCAACGCCGCGUGAGUGAAGAAGGUUUUCGGAUCGUAAAGCUCUGUUGUAAGUCAAGAACGAGUGUGAGAGUGGAAAGUUCACACUGUGACGGUAGCUUACCAGAAAGGGACGGCUAACUACGUGCCAGCAGCCGCGGUAAUACGUAGGUCCCGAGCGUUGUCCGGAUUUAUUGGGCGUAAAGCGAGCGCAGGCGGUUUGAUAAGUCUGAAGUAAAAGGCUGUGGCUCAACCAUAGUUCGCUUUGGAAACUGUCAAACUUGAGUGCAGAAGGGGAGAGUGGAAUUCCAUGUGUAGCGGUGAAAUGCGUAGAUAUAUGGAGGAACACCGGUGGCGAAAGCGGCUCUCUGGUCUGUAACUGACGCUGAGGCUCGAAAGCGUGGGGAGCGAACAGGAUUAGAUACCCUGGUAGUCCACGCCGUAAACGAUGAGUGCUAGGUGUUGGAUCCUUUCCGGGAUUCAGUGCCGCAGCUAACGCAUUAAGCACUCCGCCUGGGGAGUACGACCGCAAGGUUGAAACUCAAAGGAAUUGACGGGGGCCCGCACAAGCGGUGGAGCAUGUGGUUUAAUUCGAAGCAACGCGAAGAACCUUACCAGGUCUUGACAUCCCGAUGCUAUUUCUAGAGAUAGAAAGUUACUUCGGUACAUCGGUGACAGGUGGUGCAUGGUUGUCGUCAGCUCGUGUCGUGAGAUGUUGGGUUAAGUCCCGCAACGAGCGCAACCCCUAUUGUUAGUUGCCAUCAUUCAGUUGGGCACUCUAGCGAGACUGCCGGUAAUAAACCGGAGGAAGGUGGGGAUGACGUCAAAUCAUCAUGCCCCUUAUGACCUGGGCUACACACGUGCUACAAUGGUUGGUACAACGAGUUGCGAGUCGGUGACGGCAAGCUAAUCUCUUAAAGCCAAUCUCAGUUCGGAUUGUAGGCUGCAACUCGCCUACAUGAAGUCGGAAUCGCUAGUAAUCGCGGAUCAGCACGCCGCGGUGAAUACGUUCCCGGGCCUUGUACACACCGCCCGUCACACCACGAGAGUUUGUAACACCCGAAGUCGGUGAGGUAACCUUUGGAGCCAGCCGCCUAAG